GGGAGUUGUAGUUCCAAAACAUCUGGAGAGCCAAGGUUGCCUAUGCCUGUCCUAGGCGAAGGGAAGUCAGGAAUGCUGUCCAAGGGCACUGAAUCUGCCAGCUGUCCCUCUCCUGGUGUUCCCCCUUCUAGCUGUUCCUCACCCAGUAUUUCCCAGCUUUCCCCCUCUGGACUAUGCCCCUCUGCAAGUUACUGUUCUAAAUCAAUACUAUUCUCCUGCCAUUGGGAAGGUUCAGGCGAAGGGGGUGGGGCUUCCACUAUUCCUCCUCAGUCCAGCCCUUGAGAUCCACAUUCGACCUCAACAACAUUGCUAGGGCCACCUACCAAGGGUGAGUGUGGCCAGAACAUGCAGCAUUCUCCAUCCAGACAAGCAAGAAAUACCAUCUCAGUUCAAGGACACCUUCUGGCCAAAUACAAAUUCAUGCAGGAAGGGUCAGUGAGGGGUAUGGCCUGGGCAAAGUCCUGAAGACUGGACAAGAGAUGGCUGAAAGACUGCAUUUGGCACCUGGUCUCGAGGUAGAGCACAAAAUCUGCUAGCCCUUCUCCCCCUAAUUUAAGCCAAACUCUGCUUCACUGCGGCCUUCUAAAAGCAGCAAUUCAACAGGGAGAUCACAAAAGGAAGAGGCCCUCUCCCACCUUCAUAAUCGGGCCACUGCCAAGUCUUGGGCUUGGGUGUAUCAACACCAUAGACAAAUGGUUCUGAAUGGUUGCUUUGUCUCUGCAAGGCAGGGGUGCAUUCCCUUCUGGGCAAUGUUUUGGGGCCCACAUGCCAGUGGUUGGGAGAGCCAGAGGCAAAAAAUAAGCACAUUAUUAAAUGUGAAUUUUGCCUCUGUAAAGUAGGCUUGUUUUCUACACACACACACACACACACACACACA
Molecule: non-coding RNA, 877 nt
Organism: Zootoca vivipara (common lizard)
Lineage: Eukaryota; Metazoa; Chordata; Lepidosauria; Squamata; Lacertidae
Source: RefSeq, a predicted model, not a curated record